CUUGAACCCGGUUUGUUCCUGUGCAAGCAACUCCUGGACAGCUUUGGCAAAUCCAGCUCUUAUAACUCUUGAACCGGACCUUGUGGUAGGGCCUUUGCGGAUAAUGGGAACCUCAGUCGUGGGUACUACAACAUCCCCUCCCUCUUGAACAGGUUCUGUCCUCAGAACAUCUCCGUCAUCUGCAAUAUAAGGAGACAAGUCAGACACAUUGAACGUUCGGGAAACUUGGAACUCACCUGGCAGUUCUAGCCGGUAGGCAUUGUCAUUGAUCCGAUCGAGCACUCGGAAUGGUCCGUCUCCUCGUGGGGAUAAUUUGCUCUUCCUCUCUUCCGGAAACCGUUCUGGCCUCAUGUGGAGCCACACCCAGUCGCCUGGCUG
Molecule: long non-coding RNA, 378 nt
Filed under: Brassica rapa (field mustard)
Lineage: Eukaryota; Viridiplantae; Streptophyta; Magnoliopsida; Brassicales; Brassicaceae
Description: long non-coding RNA (BRAP_LNC008970)
Source: RNAcentral